AUGACCAGAAGUGUCCAAGACAAGCUUUCAUUUCUCUAUUCAGAAAACUUAAGCCAUCUUUAAGCAUGCUGCAAAAUGCCCCACUUUCCCCUCACAAGUAUUUUCAGGCUUUUACCAGCAUGGUGCAUAGUCACAUUUUUAAUUCUUCCCUUCAUGACAUGAGGGAGAGAGGCACGGAUUAAGUGUUCUAUUUGAAAACACUCUGACACAUUUUGUUGAAGCCAAGACAAUUCUGCUGAAGUAUUAUCAUGAUUUACUUGAGGUUAAAAGUCUGAUCAGAUGCCUGCUCUACGUGCAAAACCAUCAAGUGACUGCAGCAAACGCCUCUGGAACACAAAGCAGAAGCAGGCAGACAGCAGCUGAAUGGAGCCCCCGCUGCAAGGGGAAGCAGACAGUGGGGCUGGAGUUUCCCACCGAGUCCUCCAGCCCUUUGCUGCUGGGAGAAGGGUUAUUAAACCCUUCUGCUUUGCUCUGAAGUGCUACAAAUAGAAUGGUAAAUCUAAAUAAUGAGGUGCAUGCUGUUCCCUUCAGUAUGUGCUGCAGAUGACAAGCAGGAACCAAAAACCAAAAGGAAAAUAACAAGUAUAGCUGGAGGCUAUUGUGCCCACUAUGGAGCUGACUCUUGCAGUGUGUUCAGGUGUAUACCUUGUACUUGUGUUGUACAUCCUGCAGUGGUGACUGCCUUCUGCUGUAAGUGAGGCUAUUUAUUCAAGCCAGGAUCCUCUUUGCACCAGUCACCCUCUGUUACGUGGCUCAGCACCUACUCUGACAAGCUGCAGAAAAGGGAGCUUGUAUCCUGAGAUGGGAGCAGUUGUUCUUAAUCUCUCCCUUGAAUUUCCUGCUCUUCUGCCUUCUGCUCCCCUAAGGAAGGCGGCCAGGAUGACUGGACCAGGAACACUUUCCCCAUAAUGGUCUCUAUGGGUUAUCCCAGUCCACAAGGACCCCUUGCCACAAAGAGCCUGAUGGAAGGUCUUCUGAAGGGGACUACUUCUCAUGCCUGCCCCCAAAUAAAUCCUGCCUCUCUGUUCUGAGGUUCAAAAGCUCUAAGAUCUGCCAGGUAGAUAACAAAUCUGAGAGAUGCCAGUUGAAAGCUGACAGGAAAGGGAAGGUGGGCAGGGAUUACACCAAGGUUGAUAUUAUUUGUCAUGCAUUGGCUUACCCCGAGACAACUGUUGCUUUGCUAAUCUACUGCAGACACUUAAACCCUUGAUGUUGGGCUUCUGGAUAUAGACACCUCAGAAAGAGGGUGAGUGCCUACAGAAAGAGAUGGAAUCCAGCUGCCAUCUCCAACAUCAAUCAGUCAUGUACAAGGUCAGUGAUGCCUCAUCCAAAUUUCUGUCUAACAUGACAGGCUCAACUCCCCAGGUCUGAAAGUAGCACUUUUACAAGCAAGUGUGGCUGUCCAUAAGCAAUGAACAGGUCUGAGCCAUUUGCCGGCUUGGUUACCUCAGUGCAUUAGAAUUAAGGACAAGGGCCCUUUAUUUCCCCAGCUUAAGUAUUGAGCUAGAAAGUCAUGGCUGCUUUCAGAAGUGAUCCAAGUCCUUCGUAUUCCACAUAGGAACAGAUGGACAAAAGUGUUUUCAUCUGUGAGCAUUUAAAGGCUAAGAAGGGGUCUUCAGCAACACACAUUCACACUCUUCCUCUCUUGAUCAGGAUCCUCAGCUGAGAAUUCAAAGGCCACUUUUCAAGGCUUUCUUCUUGUGUGUGUGUGUGUGUGUGUCUAAAGCACCACUUUGUGAGGUUUGGGAGUGGAUUAAUCUCCCUCUAUUGAACCUGAUGAAACUUUUCUGAUAGAAAGCUGAUUUCAGAUUUAGACUCAGCUCCUGUCUGCAUUACCAAAACCAUUCCUGACCAUUCCUCCAUGCUCCUGAAGCCUUUCCGUGAGAUUUGGUGACUCAUCAGUUACUGCCAACUGGUGAUCCUGUUAUCAGCAGUUCCCAGAGCCCCAACCAAAGUCAAGGUGACGACAGGACAUGAUCUCAACGUGCUGAGCCAUUGCUGAAAGGGAGACCUGACACCCUUAAAAGAGGCUGUAGUGACUUGCCAUUUCUCUGGGGUAAUUCUAGCUAUGAGCUGCAUGCCUCGGUUGAGUACAUCUGCUCUGGGGAAUGCUUCCUAGAAUGCCAGAUUUCAGAAUUCACGUUAUAUACUUGGGUAACUGCUUCACAAGCUGCUUGUCUUUGAGAAAUGAUAAUGAAAGGCAGAUGAUUUAAAAAAGAGAAGAAAAAGCACAUCUCUAAGUGAAGACUUCAGUGUUUUGGGGCCCUGGUUUGGAAGUGGAGCUGAUUGCCAAAGCUCCUGGCUAACAUUAAUUCUCUUUCAAUUUCUUUGUCAUUUUGAAGCUAAUACAACUCUAGUGGAAGUUCCUAAUGUUAUUUUUCCUCUCUUAACCUAAUUAACAAACUGAAAAUUUAUGUAGUCCUAAAUGGAAUUACUUUCUCCUAAGCACUGCAGAGGGAGUUAUUUCUCAUGUCCCUAUUAAAGCAUGAAUAUCAGUGCUAAUGCUUCAUACCAGCUACCAUACCUGGAUUUUCUUCACAGGAACUGUACAUGGACAGUUCCCUGAAUGAGGCCAUGCGCCCUUAUGCCAGCUGCUGACAUUAACUUGGGACAGCAUCACACUGCCUUUUCUGUUGCUAUUUUCAAUGUUAAAUUGGAGCUGUUGGCAUAUUUACCUGCUGAAUAUUCAGAAAAGUCUGAGUAUGGCUCAAAAAACUUGCACUAUUAAAGAACUAAACCCAAACGCAACCCAAACCCUUGGUUUUCAUUUCAUAAAAGGCUUCAAGAAAUCUUUUGAUUAAAUUGUUAAAAACCAAAAUAAAUUGCUUAAAUUCUCAGAGAGGAAUCAUAUUUUUUUCCUGAAACAUGAUUUUUUAAUGAUGAAUAUUUCAACAGAGUUGUACUAAACCAGGAUUGCUCCUUUACAAAAACCUGCCAUCACUUUUAGUGAUGUUCUGUGGUAUUACCAACACUGUGCUAAUAGCUUCACAUGCAGUUAGUUUCUCAAAAACAGAUCUGACACAUUUCCAAAUACAGAAUAUGUGUAUUAUUUCGUGGCUUAAAUCUGUUUUAUCGUGAUACCACUUCCAGAAUACUGAAGGCAUAAAAUGGUUUAUGGUCCAAAAGAUAAACUAGCACAAGCCACUACACUGGAAAAUAGGGAAGGAUCUGAGAAAGUGCUAAAAGCAUUAUUAUAGCUACAGAAUGGACUCUUAAAUCUUUUAUGCAACUUGAUCAGUUCCCACUGGAACACACUGUAUUGUUUUCAUAAAUAAACACCCAAAGUUGCUGUGCACAGUG
Molecule: long non-coding RNA, 3300 nt
Organism: Neopsephotus bourkii (Bourke's parrot)
Lineage: Eukaryota; Metazoa; Chordata; Aves; Psittaciformes; Psittacidae
Exons: 2
Source: RefSeq, a predicted model, not a curated record